CACCACUAGAGGCAUUGCAAGUGUGACUGCUGUGUCACAUGUCUUUCAGUAUGUGACACAAAAGAAAGACUAUGUCUGUACUAAGUGUUCUGACCUAUGAACAUCUGAGUGAUUUGUAGCCUAACACU
Molecule: small nucleolar RNA, 128 nt
Organism: Rattus norvegicus (Norway rat)
Lineage: Eukaryota; Metazoa; Chordata; Mammalia; Rodentia; Muridae
Product: small nucleolar RNA SNORA17
Source: Ensembl